GUCACGAUAGCUCAAGUGGUAGAGCAGCAGCCUAUUGAGCGGAAGGUCGUGGGUUCGAAUCCCAAUCGUGACA
Molecule: transfer RNA, 73 nt
Filed under: Cimex lectularius (bed bug)
Lineage: Eukaryota; Metazoa; Arthropoda; Insecta; Hemiptera; Cimicidae
Rfam family: tRNA
About the family: Transfer RNA (tRNA) molecules are approximately 80 nucleotides in length.
Source: Rfam by way of RNAcentral